Molecule: RNA transcript, 1258 nt
Organism: Mauremys mutica (yellowpond turtle)
Lineage: Eukaryota; Metazoa; Chordata; Testudines; Geoemydidae
Gene name: centromere protein F-like
Exons: 8
Source: RefSeq, a predicted model, not a curated record
AAUCACCUGAGUUACUGAGCAAAUUGCACAGGAAAGAUUGAUUGGUUGGUACUUCUGAUGUCACAAUGAUGCUAUUUGUAAAUCACCUGAGUUACUGGCAUAGCUCUGUCACCAUAACCUCUAGAUGUGACUGUUGAGAGCUUUUCUUAUUAUAGUCUAGCUUCUUUACAUGAGUUUGAAAUCCGAUUGAAUUGCAAAUUAUAUUAGUAACUAUGGAAUAUAUGAAGAGUUUGGGGUCUUCUGUCAUUGAAAUAAUCAAAGCCAAGAAUAAGCGUGAAAUGUUGGAGCAAAAAAUGGACGACCUACUGAGUCAUCAGAGACAAUUUGUCGAAAAUAAUCGUCGGUCCUUAGAACAGAAAAGAAAAGAAAAGCAAAAGGAAGUGUUUCGUCAGCUACAUGACUUACUGAGAGGGGAUCUGCCGUGCGACCAGAUAAACCAGGACUUGCAGCAAGCCAACGACGCUCUACGAGCAGAACUCGACAAAGAAAUGGAGGAAAAAAACCUUCUUCGCUGCCAGUCUGAUCAAAAAUCUCAAGAAAUCCAUCAGCUGCAAGAAGAACUGAAAACAGCUAAACAGUUUCUGAAGGAGACCCAGAAUUAUGCGGAAGAGAUGAAAAUCUAGACAAUCUGAAGGCUUUAGAUCAACUGAAGAAGCAAAAUGGAUUCGCUCACAGUAAACUGAAGACAUGGAUGCAAUCCUGUGCUGAUGAGGUGGCACAUUCGCUGACCCAGGACAACGAGCAAGAGUAUGAGCCAGACGGACUCCCGGAGCUGGUCAGAAAAGGCUUUGCUGAUAUUCCUACUGGGAAAACCAACCCCUGUGUUUUGCGCAGAACAGCGCUAAACCUAAAGACCAGUCCCCGUCUUGCUGCUCAAAGCCAAAAUUUGUCACCAUAUGGCCAACGUUUACAAAAAGGCAGGUCAGAUAAUUUUGCCAAGAUCUCUAAACUGACAGCUGGUGGCAGCAAAUCACCAAAGGUAGAUGAUACUCAACGGUGCCAAGCAGAAACAACUAUUGAACCCAUGGAAUCUCGUUCAAGAUCUCCUCUUUGCAUAAAUAAGCAACCCACAAAAGCUGUUGCUGAGACCUCUAGGGAGAAUCUUAACACACACAAAGGCAGAUGUUCCUUCGGCAGAAAAACAUUACCUGAUCGGAAUGAACAAGACAAAAACUGUAUGGUACAGUAAACCUGAGUAGUAUAGGUAGUAUACCAUGAAAAAAACCCUAACCGCACCCUUUGACCCCUUAAACUCUGC